Molecule: transfer RNA, 74 nt
Filed under: Omnitrophica WOR_2 bacterium RIFCSPHIGHO2_02_FULL_68_15
Lineage: Bacteria; Pseudomonadati; Candidatus Omnitrophota
Description: tRNA-Pro
Rfam family: tRNA
About the family: Transfer RNA (tRNA) molecules are approximately 80 nucleotides in length. Their secondary structure includes four short double-helical elements and three loops (D, anti-codon, and T loops).
Source: RNAcentral
CGGGGCGUGGCUCAGCUUGGUAGAGCGCGUGGUUUGGGACCACGAGGUCCUCGGUUCAAAUCCGAGCGCCCCGA